GGUUUGUGGCUCAGAGGUAGAGUGUUUGCCUAGCAUGCAUGAGGUGCUGGGUUUGAUCCCCAGCACCG
RNAcentral lists this transfer RNA (68 nucleotides) under Marmota monax (woodchuck). RNAcentral's name for it is "tRNA.Ala". The stretch from base 5 to 65 matches the Rfam family "tRNA", at positions 6 to 65 of the family's 71-position model. Rfam says of the family: Transfer RNA (tRNA) molecules are approximately 80 nucleotides in length. Lineage: Eukaryota; Metazoa; Chordata; Mammalia; Rodentia; Sciuridae. The record is from RNAcentral.